Molecule: transfer RNA, 77 nt
Filed under: Lentisphaerota bacterium
Lineage: Bacteria; Pseudomonadati; Lentisphaerota
Also listed under: 1 other name
Description: Lentisphaerae bacterium (feces metagenome) tRNA-Val
Rfam family: tRNA
About the family: Transfer RNA (tRNA) molecules are approximately 80 nucleotides in length.
Source: RNAcentral
GGGUGUAUAGCUCAGUUGGUUAGAGCGUCACGUUGACAUCGUGAAGGUCAGUGGUUCGAGCCCACUUAUACCCACCA